AUUGAACGCUGGCGGCAGGCUUAACACAUGCAAGUCGAGCGGGGUGAUGGUGCUUGCACUAUCACUUAGCGGCGGACGGGUGAGUAAUGCUUAGGAAUCUGCCUAUUAGUGGGGGACGACAUCUCGAAAGGGAUGCUAAUACCGCAUACGUCCUACGGGAGAAAGCAGGGGAUCACUUGUGACCUUGCGCUAAUAGAUGAGCCUAAGUCGGAUUAGCUAGUUGGUGGGGUAAAGGCCUACCAAGGCGACGAUCUGUAGCGGGUCUGAGAGGAUGAUCCGCCACACUGGGACUGAGACACGGCCCAGACUCCUACGGGAGGCAGCAGUGGGGAAUAUUGGGCAAUGGGGGGAACCCUGAUCCAGCCAUGCCGCGUGUGUGAAGAAGGCCUUAUGGUUGUAAAGCACUUUAAGCGAGGAGGAGGCUCUUUUGGUUAAUACCCAAGAUGAGUGGACGUUACUCGCAGAAUAAGCACCGGCUAACUCUGUGCCAGCCGCCGCUGUAA
Molecule: ribosomal RNA, 503 nt
Filed under: uncultured bacterium
Lineage: Bacteria
Description: partial 16S ribosomal RNA
Rfam family: Bacterial small subunit ribosomal RNA
Source: RNAcentral